RNAcentral lists this ribosomal RNA (680 nucleotides) under uncultured bacterium. RNAcentral describes it as "bacterial SSU rRNA". It matches the Rfam family "Bacterial small subunit ribosomal RNA", at positions 45 to 720 of the family's 1533-position model. The record is from RNAcentral.
GGCCUAACACAUGCAAGUCGAGCGGAUGAGGGAAGCUUGCUUCCCGAUUUAGCGGCGGACGGGUGAGUAAUGCCUAGGAAUCUGCCUAUUAGUGGGGGAUAACGUUCUGAAAGGAACGCUAAUACCGCAUACGUCCUACGGGAGAAAGUGGGGGAUCUUCGGACCUCACGCUAAUAGAUGAGCCUAGGUCGGAUUAGCUAGUUGGUGGGGUAACGGCUCACCAAGGCGACGAUCCGUAGCUGGUCUGAGAGGAUGAUCAGCCACACUGGAACUGAGACACGGUCCAGACUCCUACGGGAGGCAGCAGUGGGGAAUAUUGGACAAUGGGCGAAAGCCUGAUCCAGCCAUGCCGCGUGUGUGAAGAAGGUCUUCGGAUUGUAAAGCACUUUAAGUUGGGAGGAAGGGUUGUAAGCUAAUAUCUUGCAGCUUUGACGUUACCAACAGAAUAAGCACCGGCUAACUCUGUGCCAGCAGCCGCGGUAAUACAGAGGGUGCAAGCGUUAAUCGGAAUUACUGGGCGUAAAGCGCGCGUAGGCGGCUUAGUAAGUUGGAUGUGAAAGCCCCGGGCUCAACCUGGGAACUGCAUCCAAAACUGCUUGGCUAGAGUACAGUAGAGGGUGGUGGAAUUUCCUGUGUAGCGGUGAAAUGCGUAGAUAUAGGAAGGAACACCAGUGGCGAAA